This is a long non-coding RNA of Bufo bufo (common toad), 154 nucleotides long. RefSeq lists it as uncharacterized. The transcript has 3 exons. Lineage: Eukaryota; Metazoa; Chordata; Amphibia; Anura; Bufonidae. The record is from RefSeq and is a predicted model, not a curated record.
GGUAGGUGUAUAUGCUGUGUAGGUGGCAGGCGCUUUGGAGGUAGAUAUUACCUACUCAUAGGUGACAGAACUUACCUCGCCGCCAGCCACCGCACGUCCGCACUGCCGCCUGCUUCUGAGUGUCUGACUGGGAGCCGGAGAUGCGCGGAAACCA